Molecule: ribosomal RNA, 264 nt
Filed under: uncultured archaeon
Lineage: Archaea
Description: partial 16S ribosomal RNA
Rfam family: Archaeal small subunit ribosomal RNA
Source: RNAcentral
AGACGUCUACAUUAGAUACCCCUGUAGUCCCAGCCGUAAACUAUGCGCGUUAGGUGUAUCGGUGACCACGAGUCACCGAGGUGCCGAAGGGAAACCGUGAAACGUGCCGCCUGGGAAGUACGGUCGCAAGGCCGAAACUUAAAGGAAUUGGCGGGGAGCACCACAACGGGUGGAGCCUGCGGUUUAAUUGGACUCAACGCCGGGAAGCUCACCGGAUAAGACAGCGGAAUGAUUGCCGGGCUGAAGACUCUGCAUGACUAGCUG